RNAcentral lists this ribosomal RNA (460 nucleotides) under uncultured Prevotella sp. RNAcentral's name for it is "bacterial SSU rRNA". It matches the Rfam family "Bacterial small subunit ribosomal RNA", at positions 338 to 795 of the family's 1533-position model. Lineage: Bacteria; Pseudomonadati; Bacteroidota; Bacteroidia; Bacteroidales; Prevotellaceae. The record is from RNAcentral.
CCUACGGGUGGCAGCAGUGAGGAAUAUUGGUCAAUGGGCGAGAGCCUGAACCAGCCAAGUAGCGUGCAGGAUGACGGCCCUAUGGGUUGUAAACUGCUUUUAUGCGGGGAUAAAGUGAGGGACGUGUCCUUCAUUGCAGGUACCGCAUGAAUAAGGACCGGCUAAUUCCGUGCCAGCAGCCGCGGUAAUACGGAAGGUCCGGGCGUUAUCCGGAUUUAUUGGGUUUAAAGGGAGCGUAGGCCGUGGAUUAAGCGUGUUGUGAAAUGCAGGUGCUCAACGUCUGCACUGCAGCGCGAACUGGUCCACUUGAGUGUGCACAACGCAGGCGGAAUUCGUCGUGUAGCGGUGAAAUGCUUAGAUAUGACGAAGAACUCCGAUUGCGAAGGCAGCUUGCGGGAGCACAACUGACGCUGAAGCUCGAAAGUGCGGGUAUCGAACAGGAUUAGAUACCCGAGUAGUC